Molecule: unclassified non-coding RNA, 314 nt
Filed under: plant metagenome
Description: partial contains 5.8S ribosomal RNA, internal transcribed spacer 2, and large subunit ribosomal RNA
Rfam family: 5.8S ribosomal RNA (bases 1-105)
Source: RNAcentral
GAAAUGCGAUAAUUAAUGUGAAUUGCAGAAUUCAGUGAAUCAUCGAGUCUUUGAACGCACAUUGCGCCCCCUGGUAUUCCGGGGGGCAUGCCUGUCCGAGCGUCAUUGCUGCCCUCAAGCACGGCUUGUGUGUUGGGCUUCCGUCCCUGGCAACGGGGACGGGCCCAAAAGGCAGUGGCGGCACCAUGUCUGGUCCUCGAGCGUAUGGGGCUUUGUCACCCGCUCCCGUAGGUCCAGCUGACAGCUAGCCUCGCAACCAAUCUUUUUAACCAGGUUGACCUCGGAUCAGGUAGGGAUACCCGCUGAACUUAAGC